Molecule: ribosomal RNA, 404 nt
Filed under: uncultured bacterium
Lineage: Bacteria
Description: bacterial SSU rRNA
Rfam family: Bacterial small subunit ribosomal RNA
Source: RNAcentral
GGCCGCGGGAAUUCGAUUCAGGCCUAACACAUGCAAGUCGUACGAGAGUUUUUAACUCAAGUGGCGGACGGGUGAGUAACACGUAAGAACGUGCCUUUAGGAGGGGGACAACAACUGGAAACGGUUGCUAAUACCCCAUAUGCUUUCGAGUGAAAUGGAUUUCUCCGCCUAAAGAGAAGCUUGCGGCUGAUUAGCUUGUUGGUAAGGUAAUGGCUUACCAAGGCGACGAUCAGUAUCUGGUUUGAGAGGAGGAUCAGACACACUGGAACUGAGACACGGUCCAGACUCCUACGGGAGGCAGCAGUGGGGAAUUUUCCGCAAUAGGGGAAAGCCUGACGGAGCAAUACCGCGUGAGGGAUUUAGGAGUAUGGGUUUAAACCUCUUUUUCAGGGAGGAAUAAAUGA